CUUUUUUCGCAAGGAGAGAGGGAGUGGCGGACGGGUGAGUAUCACAUGGGAACCUACCCCGAAGUGAGGGAUACCGGCGCGAAAGCGCCGACAAGCCCGCAUGAGCUCUUGCUUGAGAGAGGAAGAGGAAAGUCGGAAGACGCUUUGGGAUGGGCCUGUGGCCGAUUAGCUAGCUGGUGGGGUAACGGCUCACCAGGGCGACGAUCGGUAGCUGGUCUGAGAGGAUGAUCAGCCACACUGGGAUUGAGAACGGCCCAGACUCCUACGGGGGGCAGCAGUGAGGAAUUUUCGGCAAUGGGGGCAACCCUGACCGAGCAACGCCGCGUGCAGGAAGACGCUUUUCGGA
This 346-nucleotide ribosomal RNA is filed under the name uncultured bacterium. Its description in RNAcentral is "bacterial SSU rRNA". It matches the Rfam family "Bacterial small subunit ribosomal RNA", at positions 71 to 422 of the family's 1533-position model. The record is from RNAcentral.